CAUCAUGUCAUCUUGCUUAAGGCGUUACUCCGUGAUGGGGUUAUAGUCCUAGGGUAGGGUCAUAAGCCUGCCUUAUAGGUCCUACCCAAGGACUACCCUUCAUAAGGGACAAGGCCCUUAGUCAGCUCCGACUGAACUAAGGAGUUCCCAUCAUCCAGUCGGUAACAGACAUCCGACCAUCCAGUCGAAGGCAAACAUUCGGAGCGUAUCGAACGGACCGACUGGAUUCUACUCUGUACAUCGUAACCCCCCAGGAGGAAAAUGGUCGUACGUUUCCUCACGCUUUUAUUAGCAUUUAGGCCGUACGUUACCUGUAACGUAGGCAUUUAUUCGCCAUUAUUCCAUCCCUGUGCACCAACCGUUGUGAAGGGCAGCGCACUCUAUAUAAGCCACCCUUCCCCACUGGUGCAAGGGUUAGCAACUCACUGUGUUCUAUAUUCUACUCGACAACAAGCUCAUAGAGCACUGAGACGUAGGGCUAUUAUCUCCACCGCAGAGGGGCCUGAACUCAUA
Molecule: long non-coding RNA, 513 nt
Filed under: Hordeum vulgare
Lineage: Eukaryota; Viridiplantae; Streptophyta; Magnoliopsida; Poales; Poaceae
Description: long non-coding RNA (HVUL_LNC004573)
Source: RNAcentral